UGAGGAAUAUUGGUCAAUGGGCGAGAGCCUGAGCCAGCCAAGUAGCGUGCAGGAUGACGGCCCUAUGGGUUGUAAACUGCUUUUAUGUGGGGAUAAAGUGCGUGACGUGUCAUGCAUUGCAGGUACCACAUGAAUAAGGACCGGCUAAUUCCGUGCCAGCAGCCGCGGUAAUACGGAAGGUCCGGGCGUUAUCCGGAUUUAUUGGGUUUAAAGGGAGCGUAGGCUGUCUAUUAAGCGUGUUGUGAAAUUUACCGGCUCAACCGGUGGCUUGCAGCGCGAACUGGUCGACUUGAGUAUGCAGGAAGUAGGCGGAAUUCAUGGUGUAGCGGUGAAAUGCUUAGAUAUCAUGACGAACUCCGAUUGCGCAGGCAGCUUACUGUAGCAUAACUGACGCUGAUGCUCGAAAGUGCGGGUAUCAAACAGG
RNAcentral lists this ribosomal RNA (424 nucleotides) under Verrucomicrobiota bacterium. Its description in RNAcentral is "Verrucomicrobia bacterium partial 16S ribosomal RNA". It matches the Rfam family "Bacterial small subunit ribosomal RNA", at positions 355 to 776 of the family's 1533-position model. The record is from RNAcentral. Lineage: Bacteria; Pseudomonadati; Verrucomicrobiota.